This 482-nucleotide ribosomal RNA is filed under the name uncultured bacterium. RNAcentral's name for it is "partial 16S ribosomal RNA". It matches the Rfam family "Bacterial small subunit ribosomal RNA", at positions 30 to 507 of the family's 1533-position model. The record is from RNAcentral.
AUUGAACGCUGGCGGCAUGCCUUACACAUGCAAGUCGAACGGUAACGGGCCUUCGGGUGCCGACGAGUGGCGAACGGGUGAGUAAUACAUCGGAACGUGCCCGAUCGUGGGGGAUAACGAGGCGAAAGCUUUGCUAAUACCGCAUACGAUCUACGGAUGAAAGCAGGGGACCGCAAGGCCUUGCGCGGACGGAGCGGCCGAUGGCAGAUUAGGUAGUUGGUGGGAUAAAAGCUUACCAAGCCGACGAUCUGUAGCUGGUCUUAGAGGAUGAUCAGCCACACUGGGACUGAGACACGGCCCAGACUCCUACGGGAGGCAGCAGUGGGGAAUGUUGGACAAUGGGCGCAAGCCUGGUCCAGCCAUGCCGCGUGCAGGAUGAAGGCCUUCGGGUUGUAAACUGCUUUUGUACGGAACGAAAAGCCUUCUUUUAAUACAGGAGGGUCAUGACGGUACCGUAAGAAUAAGCACCGGCUAACUACGUG